This 253-nucleotide ribosomal RNA is filed under the name uncultured bacterium. RNAcentral describes it as "partial 16S ribosomal RNA". It matches the Rfam family "Bacterial small subunit ribosomal RNA", at positions 524 to 776 of the family's 1533-position model. The record is from RNAcentral.
UACAGAGGUCCCAAGCGUUGUUCGGAUUCACUGGGCGUAAAGGGUGCGUAGGUGGUGAGGUAAGUCGGAUGUGAAAGCUCCGAGCUCAACUCGGAAAUGGCAUUGGAAACUACCUUGCUAGAGGGUUGGAGGGGGGACUGGAAUACUUGGUGUAGCAGUGAAAUGCGUAGAUAUCAAGUGGAACACCAGUGGCGAAGGCGAGUCCCUGGACAACACCUGACACUGAGGCACGAAAGCUAGGGGAGCGAACGGG